This 433-nucleotide ribosomal RNA is filed under the name uncultured bacterium. RNAcentral's name for it is "partial 16S ribosomal RNA". It matches the Rfam family "Bacterial small subunit ribosomal RNA", at positions 29 to 507 of the family's 1533-position model. The record is from RNAcentral.
AACGAACGCUGGCGGCAUGCCUAACACAUGCAAGUCGAACGAGACCUUCGGGUCUAGUGGCGCACGGGUGCGUAACGCGUGGGAACCUGCCCUUAGGUUCGGAAUACCUCCCCGAAAGGGGUGCUAAUACCGGAUAAUGUCUUCGGACCAAAGAUUUAUCGCCUUUGGAUGGUCCAGCGUUGGAUUAGCUAGUUGGUAGGGUAAAAGCCGACCAAGGCGACGAUCCAUAGCUGGUCAGAGAGGAGGGUCAGCCACACUGGGACGGAGACACGGCCCGGACUCCUACGGGAGGCAGCAGUGGGGAAUGUUGGAAAAUGGGCGAAAGCCUGAUCCACCACUGCCGCUUGAGUGAUGAAGGCCUUAGGGUUGUAAAGCUCUUUUACCCGUGAUGAUAAUGACAGUACCGGGAGAAUAAGCCCCGGCUAACUCCGUG